GGGGUGGUCUCUGGCCUGGCAUUGGAGUCUCAACAGCCCGGGAUGGGGGACUUCAAUGUCCAUGCCGAGACCAACCUUUCAGGCAUGGCUCAGGACUUCAUGGCCUCCAUGGCAACCAUGGGGCUGUCCCAACGAGUAUCUGGUCCCACCCACAGAGCUGGGCACACGCUUGACUUGGUUUUCUGUCAGGGAUGGGAGGAAAAUGGAGGUGUGGAGGAGCUUACCAUCGCUCCGUUGCCAUGGACCGACCAUCACCUGAUCAGGUUUAGACUUGCUGCGCCCCCUAACCUCCGCACGGGUGGAGGACCCAUUAAAAUGGUCCGCCCCAGGAGGCUCAUGGAUCCGGACGGUUUCCUGAUGGAGUUUCCCGCCACCUCGGCUGGUGAUUCUGUUGAUGCUCUGGUCGCCCUCUGGAACAAGGAGGCGACUAGGGCAAUAGACACGAUCGCUCCGGAACGUCCCCUCUCGAGUACCCAAGCUAAACCAUCUCCUUGGUUUACUGAGGAGUUGGCAGCGAUGAAGCGAAAGAAGAGGGGACUAGAGCGCGUGUGGUGUUCAAAACCGAACGAGUCAAACCGAACACGGCUGGGCUCUUAUCUUAAGGCUUAUGCCGUGGCAAUAGACGCUGCAAAGAACUCUUUCUUUGCAGCUAAUAUUGCGUCCACACAGAACCAUCCAGCGGAGCUGUUCCGAGUUGUCAGAGGUUUGUUAUAUCCCGUCCUUCGGGACGGGAUCCCUGACAACUCGACAGCCCGCUGUGAAGCAUUUGCUCGGUUCUUUGCGGACAAAGUCGCUUUGAUCCGCUCUAGCUUUGACACCAUUUUAACGGCAGUCUCCGAGGAUGUAACAAGUGCACCUGCUUGUCCUAUUUUGAUGGAUUCGUUCCAAUUGGUUCAGCCCAAGGACGUGGACAAGGUGCUUGGAGAGGUGAGGGCUACCACAUGCAUCCUAGACCCCUGCCCAUCCUGGCUGGUGAGAGAAGCCAGAGGGGGAUUGGCCGAGUGGGUGAAGGUGGUGGUGAAUGCCUCCCUUCGGGAAGGCAUAUUUCCAGCAAGCCUUAAAUUGGCUUGAUUAAACCGCUGUUGAAGAAGCCAUCACUGGACCCCACUCAAUUGGAGAACUAUCGGCCUAUUUCCA
Molecule: long non-coding RNA, 1137 nt
Filed under: Anolis carolinensis (green anole)
Lineage: Eukaryota; Metazoa; Chordata; Lepidosauria; Squamata; Anolidae
Description: lncRNA (ENSACAG00000034652.1)
Source: RNAcentral